RNAcentral lists this ribosomal RNA (396 nucleotides) under uncultured bacterium. RNAcentral's name for it is "partial 16S ribosomal RNA". It matches the Rfam family "Bacterial small subunit ribosomal RNA", at positions 338 to 731 of the family's 1533-position model. The record is from RNAcentral.
CCUACGGGAGGCAGCAGUGAGGAAUAUUGGUCAAUGGGCGCGAGCCUGAACCAGCCAAGUAGCGUGAAGGAUGACUGCCCUACGGGUUGUAAACUUCUUUUAUAAAGGAAUAAAGUGAGGCACGUGUGCCUUUUUGUAUGUACUUUAUGAAUAAGGAUCGGCUAACUCCGUGCCAGCAGCCGCGGUAAUACGGAGGAUCCGAGCGUUAUCCGGAUUUAUUGGGUUUAAAGGGUGCGUAGACGGGUUGUUAAGUCAGUUGUGAAAGUUUGCGGCUCAACCGUAAAAUUGCAAUUGAUACUGGCAGUCUUGAGUACAGUUGAGGUAGGCGGAAUUCGCGGUGUAGCGGUGAAAUGCUUAGAUAUCGCGAAGAACUCCGAUUGCGAAGGCAGCUUACUA